Molecule: long non-coding RNA, 4563 nt
Filed under: Sus scrofa (pig)
Lineage: Eukaryota; Metazoa; Chordata; Mammalia; Artiodactyla; Suidae
Description: lncRNA (ENSSSCG00025067635.1)
Source: RNAcentral
CUUUUUCUUUUUUCUUUUUUAAUUUUUUGGCCACACCUGCAGCAUGUUCCCAGGCCAGGGAUCAGACCGGCACCAGAGCAGUGACCCUCUGCUGCAGUGGCAAUGCCAGUGCCAGGUCCUGAACCCACUGCACCACCAGAGAGCUCCGAAAUCUCCAUAUUCUUUUCCACACCGAAGGAAUCACACUGUUCUACGCACACUCCCGUGACUCGCUCACCCCUUCGUCGGGUCUUUCGUCCCAUCACUUGAUUAAACUGCUUUCCUGCAGGCAGUGCACCUCUGAUCAUUUAUCCUUCUUGCCCCAAACUUUGAAGAGCCUUUUGGAAUCAGAUGAACGAAGGGUCAACUUUUAAGCUCUGAAUGUAAAUCAUGCUCCCCCUUUGAAUGGCCCCAGCUUCAUCUUUCAAAAUGUUUCUAAUACUACCCCAUAAUGUGCUUGAAAUUGACUAUUUAAUAAUAUACUUUUCUGUAGUUGGUGAGCUUAGCUGUCUCCACAUUUGAGAAGUCAUCCCUGUCUCUGACCAAGCCCUCUGAUGUCCCCUUGCUUGUCAUUAUACCGCCACUCCUGGUGUGAGGUCUGACCUAGGGUGGGUAUUUGACCUGAUGAAGGAAUGAAGAUACAUUCAACAUAGAGCUUAAUCUUGGAUUCUGAGGGGAAAAAAAAAAAAGUUCCCUUUGCAUGUCUGAAUCUCACAAUUGGGGUGCCCUUAGGAACACUACAAGUGAAAAGGUACCAUUUUCUAUAUUCUCUAAAUGAGAAAGGCAUGUGGUUUUGAAUAAAUGAAUGAAUGGAUGAUAAAAGAAAGGUAUAACCAGCUUCAAUAUGUUUUAUUCAUAUUAAUAAGGAGUUGCGUUCGAUUGCAGUGGGCAGCCACAGACCAAAAAUAAAUAAAUAAUUAACUAGGUAGCUUCCAUGGUUAUAAUUUAAAAUUUAUUUCAUAUUCUCCUACUUUAAUUAAAUAAGUAUGCACGGCUGACGGACCCAAUGUAGGUUCAUUCUUGUAUUAGGAACCGUGAUAGCAAAAGACAAACAGAACAUUAAUUUAAUGAAGGUUAUAGGGUUUGGAAUAAACUUGAAAGAAACUGAAUACAUGCAAAGGGUUGUUGGGGAGAGGAAAAUUUCCCUUUCUAGCCUUCUUGAGUUCCUGUGGCUGGACCAAUAAUAAAACUAACACAAGACAGAUUAACAGGAGAAAAAGAAACAAAUUUUAAUGCAUAUGCAUGGAGGUCCCAUAGAAAGGGGACUUUAGGAGUGGCAAAAGCAGGCAGAUUUUAUAAUACUUUGUCUAAAGAAAAAGAAGCAAUAAAUUUGCGAGGCACUGACAGGACAAAGAGACUUAAAUUUUGGGGUGUCCAAUUAGUGAAAAAUUUAGACAGAAUUUGGGCUGAGCCUCGUAAAGCUAAGUAAUGAAACCUUGCAAUAACCCUUCCUCUGCUCCAGACUCCAGCAUUUCUGUUUGGCCUUACUGUGCAUCAGCCAUGAACUUGCCUUCAGCGACAGUAACCAGGUUUGUUCAUUCAGGCUUCUGGGCCCCGAUUCCCUAUCCUUGGUGCUAAGGGCAUCCUUCUACCUCCAGAUUCAGGGAGUGCAUGCACCUUUAAUAUGAGAGAUUCAUUUUCUGCCUUCAGGCGGGUCAGCAUGUCCCUCUUGCUUUGGCUGUUUCUUAAGUAACUUUAAUUUAAAAUAAUUCCAUUUUCAGGUGGCCUGAUCUGGGCCCCAACAAGGUCUUCUUGUGGAUUUCUGAAUUUUAACAUUUCCUUCAACAUGCUACAUACUACAACAUAUCUUCUUUAAUUAAUAAUUUAUUUGCCUCAAUCUCUUUUUUUUUCUUUUUCCAUUUAUGGGUAGAGUCAACCAAACUGGCAUCAGAAUCUGUCAUCCAGGUUACUGCUCUUCUAUACUCCCUCUUCUUGUAUUUUUAAAAAACCAAAAAGGUCCAAUUUCUUACAGUUUUCCUGCAUGUCUAUUACCAUCCUGUAUGGCAGGUUUGCCUUCUAGAUGUUUUAUCCUAAAACUUUGUUUAGCAGUCCCUCCUUUCCCUACGGCUUCUUUCAAAUAUUUUCUGAAUGUGUGUCCUCUGAAACAUGCUACCAUUUGCUUAUAGUUAUUGUGCAUCAUCUGCUGCAGAAGGAUCCCAUCCAUCCUACUUCCUGCACUGCCAGGAUGUGCCAGAAAACUUUGCAUGGAGCAGACAUUCUUUUUUUUUGGCGCUUGCCUGUGGGAGCAUCAUAAGAAGCAUCAGAAGAUGUAUGAGAAUUUGUUCUAAUCAACUGAAGAAUGCUUUCUGAAUACAGUUUUAUAGCAAAAAAAAAAAAUAGUGGUGGCUAUGUAAAGAUUUGAUAUAAAACUGCACAACGAAUUUCUAUAAUAAUAACAAUAAUAAUUCUAUAGUUAAAGAAGAAUAAGUACUAUAGAUACAAUCAGGACACUUUCAUAUCAUGGUUGACCUAGCAAAAAACACAACUUAUUAUUAAUGUUUUCGCUCUUUCUCUGGGCAACCAGAAGUCAUCACUGCCGUGGUUUUAGGAUCUGGUACUGUUCUUAAUGAUGGAAAAUUUUGUGAGUGGUUGCCGGGUCUAGAAGGCAGUCUGCUCACAAAUGUUUCCCAAAUUUUUAUGGCAAUUCCGGCCAGGAUCUUGUGGUCUUUUAUUACCUUAAGUCUAGGAGAAAAAUGGAUGAGAAUAUCAGGGAGGAAGAAAUUUUUCUCUAUGCUUCUAAGUUCUUCUGGCUGGUCUAAGAAUGAAAUUGACAUGAUAAAGAUUAACAGGAGAAAAUCAAACAAAAGUUUAACAGCAUGUAUGCCUACACAGGAGAGAGCCAGAAACCCCGAAUAACUCACCCAAAUGGCAGAAGCCCUUAUCUUAAGUAUCAUUCUUAGCUAAGACAAAAGAGGAUGGUGAGGGGAGAGGGUCAGUUAUGGGGUUACCAGGACAAGCACAGUCAGCAAGGGUAAGGUUGUGAUGCAGAUUUAAGUUCUUGCCUUCUCCAUUGAUAAGACUGUCUAGACGUUUUGUCAUCUCCCCCCCCGCUCCAGGAGACAUCCUCAAGAAUGGAGAUUUCCCUUACACAGGUAAAUAUUUCCUACAAAAGGGCAACUCGCACUUGAUUUUCAGAGUUUUCUCCGGGAAUGCUGUUUCCUAGAAAGUAACCAGCUCAAAAUAAUUAAUAUGCCAAAGAGACAUAAUUUAGAAUGGCAAAUUCGGCUCCUCUCUAAGAAUUUGAGACUAGGAUUAUCUGAUUAAUAACCUGACUUCAAUAUACAGACUAUUAUUUUUCCAAAGGCCCAUCUGCCUGCAGGGAACAUGGAGGUGAGAGGGGGUGUGGUAGAGGGUGGAGAAACUAGAACUGCUAGUGUAGAAAUGCGGAGAGAAGGAAUUCACUCAAAGUAGAUGAUAUAAGAAGUCCGUGAUAAUGUGAGAAAAAAGGAUGUACACUGGGUCACCAUGCUAUACUUCAGAAAACUGACAGAACGCUAUAAACCAGCUAUAAUGGAAAAAAGAAUAACAAAAAUCAUUAAGUAAAUAAAUAAAUAAAUAGAAGUCCAUUUUCUUCCAAGCAAGGCUACUGCCCUGAGGGAGUAUCCUCCAAAUUUCUUUAAUUUUCUUCCACUCAUCACAGUUUAAGCCUAGGUUUCUCUCGGUAUGUAUGGAAGAUACCAAUGCUUCCUUGGACAGCAAGACCAGGGGCUUUCUAUUCUAUGGCAAAAGGAGAGGGUGACAGGAGAAGGGAGUGGCCAGGUGUGUGAUUGCUAAGUCCCAGAGUGCACGUGUGUGUGUGUGUGUGUGUGUUGCACGGGUAGAGAGGGACACCUGUGUGGGACUAAAGAAGCCUGCAAACAUGCCAUCCAGGGAUCUCUUCACCUCUCUGAAGAUACUGCAAACACCUAAACAUCACUUGGAAGAAGAACUCUUGGGGUGGGGGGUAAAGGGUUUCAGAGGCAAGGAAUACCAAGUAAUAUAUAAUCAAAGGAACAUUUUACAUUAUAGGACUGGCUAAAUUUAUGGUGCUAUGCACCUUUUCCACCAUAGAAUCACUUAAAUUUCUUACCCCAUACACACGUAUGUGUAAAAUAUAUAUGAGUUUUAAAACUUUUAGCAGAUUAUAAGAAAAUAUUUUCCAGGUGGGUGGGAAAAACACAAUCAUCAAAACUGGAAGACUUUUGAGAGUGAAAGGGGUAUAUUAAUACUCAGCCAGAAAGGCAUACACCACGACCACUCCACGACACCUGGGACCCUCCUACAGAAAAAGCUGAAUUCUGUUCAAAAUGUGAAUUUUUCUUAGAUUGGGAUGAGGUAAGGGAAAAAACUUGUACCUUAAUGUAUACAUUGGCUGAAAAAUAGUAUAUUUCCUUGGGCCGAAGAGAGCUUACUUACACCCGUAAGAAUUAAAUUGUUCUAUUUCGGAAAUAAACAGAAAUUUUGGUGGAUGCAAGUUGGCUAAAAAGGGAAGAUAAGAAAAGCCCUUUGACGGAAAGAAUUACUUACGAAAAUAACAUUACUUGAGCACCUGAUAACUAGGGUUGGGGGGGAGGGGCGUGCUUGGCCAGAAAUUUACAUUGGAGG